GCAGAUAUGGUCUAAUGGCGAUGACUCUAGCCUUCCAAGCUUGAAAUGCGGGUUCGACUCCCGUUAUCUGCU
RNAcentral lists this transfer RNA (72 nucleotides) under Enterocloster aldenensis. Its description in RNAcentral is "[Clostridium] aldenense tRNA-Gly". It matches the Rfam family "tRNA". From Rfam's summary of the family: Transfer RNA (tRNA) molecules are approximately 80 nucleotides in length. Their secondary structure includes four short double-helical elements and three loops (D, anti-codon, and T loops). The record is from RNAcentral. Lineage: Bacteria; Bacillati; Bacillota; Clostridia; Lachnospirales; Lachnospiraceae.